CCUACGGGAGGCAGCAGUGGGGAAUAUUGGGCAAUGGGCGCAAGCCUGACCCAGCAACGCCGCGUGAAGGAAGAAGGCUCUCGGGUUGUAAACUUCUUUUAUCAGGGACGCAGCAAGUGACGGUACCUGAUGAAUAAGCCACGGCUAACUACGUGCCAGCAGCCGCGGUAAUACGUAGGUGGCAAGCGUUAUCCGGAUUUACUGGGUGUAAAGGGCGUGUAGGUGGGAAAGUAAGGCAGAGGUGAAAACCAUGGGCUCAACCUGUGGCCUGCAUUGGAAACUGGUUUUCUUGAGUACUGGAGAGGCAGACGGAAUUCCUAGUGUAGCGGUGAAAUGCGUAGAUAUUAGGAGGAACACCAGUGGCGAAGGCGGUCUGCUGGACAGCAACUGACGCUGAGGCGCGAAAGCGUGGGGAGCAAACAGGAUUAGAUACCCGUGUAGUC
Molecule: ribosomal RNA, 443 nt
Filed under: uncultured bacterium
Lineage: Bacteria
Description: partial 16S ribosomal RNA
Rfam family: Bacterial small subunit ribosomal RNA
Source: RNAcentral